This 253-nucleotide ribosomal RNA is filed under the name uncultured bacterium. Its description in RNAcentral is "partial 16S ribosomal RNA". It matches the Rfam family "Bacterial small subunit ribosomal RNA", at positions 524 to 776 of the family's 1533-position model. The record is from RNAcentral.
UACGGAGGGUGCAAGCGUUAUCCGGAUUCAUUGGGCGUAAAGGGUGCGUAGGUGGGUUGGUAAGUCAGUGGUGAAAUCUCCGAGCUUAACUUGGAAACUGCCAUUGAUACUAUCAGUCUUGAAUAUUGUGGAGGUUAGCGGAAUAUGUCAUGUAGCGGUGAAAUGCUUAGAUAUGACAUAGAACACCAAUUGCGAAGGCAGCUGGCUACGCAUAUAUUGACACUGAGGCACGAAAGCGUGGGGAUCAAACAGG